AUGGACAGGACGUCGAUCCCGGGGGACACGAGACUACGUGAAGGAACUGCUGCAGAGGAUACAACGGUUGCAGUUGGAGUUAGAGGAGUCACGCUGCAGUGGGUAUGGCUGUCGAGUGUGUUCCAGCAGCAGAACCCCAAUGAGAUGCUGGUCAGGAACAGCUCCAAGACAUGCUCAUUUGAAGAUUGGGUUAUCAAUAUCAAUUACGGUUACCUUUCAACGUCUAAUCAGGUCUGCAAGGUAGUGUUAUUUCUCUUCUAUUUUUGUGAUUCUUCAUAUGCAGAAAAUGGUAUGUUCAGCUUAUAUCAUAAAUUCCAUAAGGACUACAUGAUAUGA
Molecule: ribosomal RNA, 336 nt
Filed under: Triticum aestivum (bread wheat)
Lineage: Eukaryota; Viridiplantae; Streptophyta; Magnoliopsida; Poales; Poaceae
Description: partial small subunit ribosomal RNA
Source: RNAcentral